RNAcentral lists this ribosomal RNA (2649 nucleotides) under human gut metagenome. RNAcentral's name for it is "bacterial LSU rRNA". It matches the Rfam family "Bacterial large subunit ribosomal RNA". The record is from RNAcentral.
UCAAGCUACAAAGGGCGCAUGGUGAAUGCCUUGGCAUCAGGAGCCGAUGAAGGACGUGAUAAGCUGCGAUAAGCUUCGGGUAGGCGCACAUAGCCUGAGAUCCGAAGAUUUCCGAAUGAGGAAACUCACAUGGGAAACCCCAUGUAUCAUUAAGUGAAUACAUAGCUUAAUGAAGGUAACCCAGGGAACUGAAACAUCUAAGUACCUGGAGGAAGAGAAAGAAAAAUCGAUUUUCUUAGUAGCGGCGAGCGAAAGGGAAAGAGCCCAAACCGGAAACUUGUUUCCGGGGUUGUGGACAUAACAUAAAAGUGGAGGCUAUUGUAACUGAAGAGAACUGGAAAGUUCCACCGUAGAAGGUAAUAGUCCUGUAAGUGAAACGAGAAGACCACGAGUUAUGAUCCAGAGUACCACGAGACACGUGAAACCUUGUGGGAAGCAGGGAGGACCACCUCCCAAGGCUAAAUACUACCUGAUGACCGAUAGUGAAGCAGUACCGUGAGGGAAAGGUGAAAAGAACCCCGGGAGGGGAGUGAAAUAGAACCUGAAACCGUGUGCCUACAACCGCUCAGAGCCCCUUAUGAGGGUGAUGAGGUGCUUUUUGUAGAACGAGCCAACGAGUUACGGUAUGUAGCAAGGUUAAGUACUUAAGGUACGGAGCCGAAGGGAAACCGAGUCUGAAUAGGGCGACUAGUUGCAUGCCGUAGACCCGAAACCGGGUGACCUAUCCAUGGCCAGGUUGAAGCGAGGGUAAAACCUCGUGGAGGACCGAACCACGUUGCUGUUGAAAAAGCAUGGGAUGAGCUGUGGAUAGCGGAGAAAUUCCAAUCGAACCCGGAGAUAGCUGGUUCUCUCCGAAAUAGCUUUAGGGCUAGCGUCGAGUAUGAGUAGUGGAGGUAGAGCACUGAAUGGGCUAGGGGGCAUAGCGCUUACCGAACCUUAUCAAACUCCGAAUGCCACAUACUUUGAGCUCGGCAGUCAGACUACGAAUGAUAAGAUCCGUGGUCAAAAGGGAAACAGCCCAGAUCGUCAGCUAAGGUCCCAAAGUGUAAGUUAAGUGGGAAAGGAUGUGAGAUUUCUAAGACAACUAGGAUGUUGGCUUAGAAGCAGCCAUUCAUUAAAAGAGUGCGUAAUAGCUCACUAGUCGAGAGAUCUUGCGCCGAAAAUGUAACGGGGCUAAACUUACCACCGAAGCUACGGGCUUGAACUUAGUUCAAGCGGUAGGAGAGCGUCGUAACCGGGCUGAAGUCGUACCGUAAGGAGCGGUGGACUGGUUACGAGUGAGAAUGUUGGCAUCAGUAGCGAGAUGUGGGUGAGAAUCCCACAGGCCGAAAACCUAAGGUUUCCUCAGGAAGGUUCGUCCGCUGAGGGUUAGUCGGGACCUAAGCCGAGGCCGAAAGGCGUAGGUGAUGGACAACUGGUUGAUAUUCCAGUACCACUACCAUCGUUAUUAUCGAUGGCGUGACGCAGGAGGAUAGUGUGUGCUAGCUAUUGGAUGCUAGUCUAAGCGUUUAGGCAGUGAGAGUAGGCAAAUCCGCUCUCAUAAUGCUGAGGCGUGAUGGGGAAGGUUCUACGGAACCGAAGUACAUGAUUCCACGCUGCCAAGAAAAGCGUCUAGAGAGAGAAGUAGUGCCCGUACCGCAAACCGACACAGGUAGGUGAGGAGAGAAUCCUAAGGCCGGCGGAAGAAUUACAGUUAAGGAACUCGGCAAAUUGACCCCGUAAGUUCGCGAGAAGGGGUGCCUACGAGAGUAGGCCGCAGAGAAUAGGCCCAAGCAACUGUUUAGCAAAAACACAGGUCUCUGCUAAAGCGUAAGCUGAUGUAUAGGGGCUGACGCCUGCCCGGUGCUGGAAGGUUAAGGGGAACACUUAGCGCAAGCGAAGGUGUGAACUUAAGCCCCAGUAAACGGCGGCCGUAACUAUAACGGUCCUAAGGUAGCGAAAUUCCUUGUCAGGUAAGUUCUGACCCGCACGAAUGGCGUAAUGACUUGGGCACUGUCUCAACUGUAAAUCCGGCGAAGUUGUAGUGCGAGUGAAGAUGCUCGCUACCCGCGAUUGGACGGAAAGACCCCGUAGAGCUUUACUGUAGCUUAGCAUUGAGUUUUGGUAUUGUCUGUACAGGAUAGGUGGGAGACUAGGAAACCAGGGCGUCAGCCUUGGUGGAGUCAACCUUGGGAUACCACCCUGACAGUACUGAAAUUCUAACUGGCGGCCAUGAAUCUGGUCACAGGACAUUGUUAGGUGGGCAGUUUGACUGGGGCGGUCGCCUCCUAAAAAGUAACGGAGGCGCCCAAAGGUUCCCUCAGAACGGUCGGAAAUCGUUCGAAGAGUGCAAAGGCAGAAGGGAGCCUGACUGCGACACCCACAAGUGGAGCAGGGACGAAAGUCGGGCUUAGUGAUCCGGUGGUACCUCGUGGGAGGGCCAUCGCUCAACGGAUAAAAGCUACCUCGGGGAUAACAGGCUGAUCUCCCCCAAGAGUCCACAUCGACGGGGAGGUUUGGCACCUCGAUGUCGGCUCGUCGCAUCCUGGGGCUGAAGUAGGUCCCAAGGGUUGGGCUGUUCGCCCAUUAAAGCGGCACGCGAGCUGGGUUCAGAACGUCGUGAGACAGUUCGGUCUCUAUCUAUCGUGGGCGUGGGAGGUUUGAGUGGUG